This 263-nucleotide small RNA is filed under the name Arabidopsis thaliana (thale cress). RNAcentral describes it as "ATSL140560". The record is from RNAcentral. Lineage: Eukaryota; Viridiplantae; Streptophyta; Magnoliopsida; Brassicales; Brassicaceae.
AAACUCGAAAUAUACUUUUUAAGGUCUAUGUACACAUUCGUUUUUAAAAAGGUUCAUGAUGGGUAAAACUAUAAAGGGUAAUAUUAGAAACUAACUAUGAAAUGGAAAAGAAUUGAGAGAAUGACAUUGUGUCAGAAAAGUUAGGUAAAUAACAUUUUCUGAAAAAGAGAAAAUACAAAAAUAUCCUUGUGUUUACUUAUUUUUACAAUAAUGCCAUUGGCUUUAGUUAUAAAGUUUAUAUGUAUUUGUCUAAAAUAGCAUGA